Molecule: ribosomal RNA, 450 nt
Filed under: uncultured bacterium
Lineage: Bacteria
Description: bacterial SSU rRNA
Rfam family: Bacterial small subunit ribosomal RNA
Source: RNAcentral
CACCAGACUCCUACGGGAGGCAGCAGUGGGGAAUAUUGCACAAUGGGGGGAACCCUGAUGCAGCAAUGCCGCGUGAAGGAUGAAGGUUUUCGGAUUGUAAACUUCUUUUGUACGGGACGAAGAAAGUGACGGUACCUGAGUAAGAAGCCCCGGCUAACUACGUGCCAGCAGCCGCGGUAAUACGUAGGGGGCAAGCGUUAUCCGGAUUUACUGGGUGUAAAGGGAGCGUAGACGGUAUGGCAAGUCUGAAGUGAAAGCCCCGGGCUCAACCUGGGAAUUGCUUUGGAAACUGUUAAACUAGAGUGCUGGAGAGGCAGGCGGAAUUCCUAGUGUAGCGGUGAAAUGCGUAGAUAUUAGGAGGAACACCAGUGGCGAAGGCGGCCUGCUGGACAGUAACUGACGUUGAGGCUCGAAAGCGUGGGGAGCAAACAGGAUUAGAUACCCUUGUAA